AGAGUUUGAUCAUGGCUCAGGAUGAACGCUGGCGGUAUGCCUAACACAUGCAAGUCGAACGGGUAUCUUCGGAUAUUAGUGGCGGACGGGUGCGUAACGCGUGAGAAUCUGCCUUCAGGAUGGGGACAACAGUUGGAAACGACUGCUAAUACCCGAUAUGACGAAAGUUGAAAGAUUUAUCGCCUGGAGAUGAGCUCGCGUCAGAUUAGCUAGAUGGUGUGGUAAAGGCGCACCAUGGCGACGAUCUGUAGCUGGUCUGAGAGGAUGAGCAGCCACACUGGGACUGAGACACGGCCCAGACUCCUACGGGAGGCAGCAGUGGGGAAUUUUCCGCAAUGGGCGCAAGCCUGACGGAGCAAUACCGCGUGAGGGAGGAAGGCUCUUGGGUCGUAAACCUCUUUUCUCAGGGAAGAACAAAAUGACGGUACCUGAGAAUCAGCUCGAUC
RNAcentral lists this ribosomal RNA (446 nucleotides) under uncultured cyanobacterium. RNAcentral's name for it is "bacterial SSU rRNA". It matches the Rfam family "Bacterial small subunit ribosomal RNA", at positions 8 to 497 of the family's 1533-position model. The record is from RNAcentral. Lineage: Bacteria; Bacillati; Cyanobacteriota.